Molecule: long non-coding RNA, 1334 nt
Organism: Trifolium pratense (red clover)
Lineage: Eukaryota; Viridiplantae; Streptophyta; Magnoliopsida; Fabales; Fabaceae
Exons: 7
Source: RefSeq, a predicted model, not a curated record
ACCCUUUAUCACCAAAAAAAAAAAAGUAAAGUAGAAAACCCUUUUGUAUUCCAAUUCCAAUUUUUUCACAAGGUCUUCUUCUGCGUUUUCUCCCGCAACAGCGAGAGAUAACAAAAUGGGGUUCUUCUCCUUUCUGCUGGCCCGUUUACUCUUUGAUUCAUUCUUCGUCCUCCCCGCACGACAGAUUUCAGAUCUCUCUAUCUCUUCGUUUUCCAAAGGUCGUAGCGUUGUUCCCUGUUCAAGUUCUCUUUGCUAACCACCGGCGCCGUGUUUCUCCUAUUUUUCGUUCUUCUUCUCAUCAUGGGCUCUUCUUCUUAGAUAAGAGUGGGUUGAAGAGCAAUGGUGUUGCUUUGACCAAAGUAGAUGUUCUGCAUAAGAAUGAAUUGGGUUGCAACAAAACCUACAAAAAGGAAUCAAAAUUGGAGCAAGAUGCCACACUUCAGUUCAUUUUUAGGUUUUGGCGUGGUUCAGGUACCAAAGCUAUUUCUGUUAUUUUAGGACUUGGUGUGUUUUAGGUGCCAAAGUUAAGCUUUUGAAUCUUAACAAGAACAACUAUUGUUACUCCAUAUGACCAAAACAUAAGUGGUUGUGCCUGCCCUUCAAGUGUUAGAGGAAGGUGUCUAAGUCCACAUGCAAUCACUAUUUUAGGAGCCUUAUGUUUUAGGCUUUCUAACAAGGUCUUGAGGGAUUAUUAAGGAAUAAGGAAGAUUUGAAGAAGAUUCGUCAAACCCGUAUUCUUAGACACAACCUCACUAAAAAGAGAUGAAGUCAGGGGACACUUCUAAAGUAGAGUUACUGAAGCUGUCAAAAAAAUGGAUUUUGAAGGACACUAAACAUCAGAACAUGGAUUUGGAGGCUUGAAGGAUAGUCUGAAGUGAAUGUGCCAAGUUCAAGUAUCACCAUUAGUUCUUGUUCAUCAACAUCAGGUUUGAUGAAAACAAUUCAGCGGAAGCGGUUAUGAGAGUUCAUUGUAAUUAUUGAUGAAGUUGCAAUGCAGAGACACCAACAUAUGGACUAUGGAGAAGCUGUACAAGGCCAACCAUGUCGGGGGGAGUAUGAACAUUAUCUACGAUGAAAAGGGAUUAUGAUCAAAGAAAGGUUGGAAUUGAUUAUGAUCAUUGAAAUUAAGAAAGGGAUUAUGUCCAAUUUUAGUUGUAUUUAUGGUUGAGUAAAUAUUGUCUUAACUUGUAUCUGAGACGUCAUGGGAGCAGUAAUCAUGUCUUUAGGUUUUUAUAGUAGGAGGUAGUACUUUUUAGUAUCCAUAGAAUGGAUGUAAUCCACUAUGCAUUUAUGUAAAACUAUAAAUUUGAAUAAAGGAUCAUGUAUUUGCCUCA